GUGAAUCAUCGAAUCUUUGAACGCAAAUUGCACUCUCCGGUUUUCCGGGAGAGUAUGCCUGUUUGAGGGUCAGCCUAAAAAAGAUCGACAUUGUUGCUGUUUUAUGGUGACUUUCGUCGGAGAUGGGUAAUCUAAAUCCCCGUUUUAAGCGCCUUAAAAUUUUUUUUUAGGAUUUAAAGAAGUUUCUUAAGUUUUUUCUUUUCGGUUUAGGUU
This 213-nucleotide unclassified non-coding RNA is filed under the name Glomus sp. RNAcentral describes it as "partial contains 5.8S ribosomal RNA and internal transcribed spacer 2". The stretch from base 1 to 72 matches the Rfam family "5.8S ribosomal RNA", at positions 84 to 154 of the family's 154-position model. The record is from RNAcentral. Lineage: Eukaryota; Fungi; Glomeromycota; Glomeromycetes; Glomerales; Glomeraceae.